GGUAAAAAAGGUGAAGCAGGAUUGCCAGGAGCUGAUGGUCUUCCAGGACCCCCUGGCCCUCAGGGGCCUCCUGGUCCUCCAGGCAACCCUGGACACACAGGACCUCCAGUAAGUUUACAUUUUUCAACUGUUUUUAUUUGCAAACUGAUCUAGAGCCGCAUCAUAGUAGCAGAUGAUAUUCACACAUCUGUCUGUUCUCACAGGGAUUACCUGGUGAAAGAGGCUUCUCGGGAAAAUCAGGAGAAGCAGGAAAACCAGUGAGACCUCAAGCACAAAUCAUCUGUUGCCCUAUUAACUCAACCCUCAGUUCAGUGUAAAAAAACAAUGAUGCUAAUUCUUUUUCAGGGCCUGCCAGGAAAAGAUGGAUUGGAUGGUUUGCCUGGAAACGACGGCGAGAAGGUUAGAGCUGUUUUAAUGAUUCAAACUGUGAACUUCAUCAUUUAGAAACCCAACUAAAGGCCAGAUCUGGUUUUUGACCUUUUCGUAUGUGUUUUUUUUUUUUUGUUGUACUGCAGUCUGUUUUAUUAAUUUGUGUUUCUGUUUAGGGGCAAAGAGGAGAGCCCGGACAGGACGGCAUCCCUGGCGGACCAGGACCGAAGGUAAAGGGUGGCGUGGGCUACUGAUUUCAGAUUUAGCUUGGAAAUCCCUUUUUUUUUUAUCAAUGUUUCUCUCUUUCAGGGAGAUGAAGGCCCUCCAGGACCACGAGGACCUCCUGGUCAACGGGGUGAGCCCGGUUUGCCUGGAGAGGUCGGCACAGUAGGACCCAAAGGAGAGAGAGGAGGCCAAGGAGAGAGCGGAAAAGAGGGACCUAUUGGCUCGAAAGGAGAGAAAGGAGACAAGGUGAGAGGCAAGAGAAAGCUUAGAAAUAGCAGAUAGUGAUUAUUUUAUCAUGAAAUGUUGGUCAAAAUUUUAAACAGAUAGUAAAAUUAAUAGUUAAAUGUUCUUUUUCAAAUAAAUGCUGUUCUUUUGAUCCAAAAUUAUU
Molecule: long non-coding RNA, 982 nt
Filed under: Carassius auratus (goldfish)
Lineage: Eukaryota; Metazoa; Chordata; Actinopteri; Cypriniformes; Cyprinidae
Description: lncRNA (ENSCARG00000046347.1)
Source: RNAcentral